GAGCCUUUUCCCCCCUUGCAGGCUCCCUCUCUGGGCUUUGCUUCUGUGUCUUGUUUACCCAGCAGGUGGAUGUGACGUCAGGGACUGAACACAGCAAAAAAUAACAACAUCUCAAUCCGCCAGUCCAGCGUGGGCACCACCAGCAAAGUGGGGAAGGAGGGGGAGCAAGAAAAUAGUGCCUGAUCCAGGAGCCCCCAGACCGCAGGAGGAGAAGAAGGAGGGGUGCCAGUAAACAACAAGCAACAAGAGUGCAAAGAGGGGGUCGGGUCGGGUGGGGGGGCAGCAGAAGAGGGACUGCAGCCUGCCAGCCUUGGAGGGAGGAGAGCGCCCCGGCUGGAGAGGGGCCCCCGGGGGCGCUGCAGCCAUCACAGGAGUCAAGCACGAGCCCCGAGCUGCGGAGUAAUCUGCUUAUUUACUGUGUGGCUGUUGCAUGCUAUACUGGAAACCGCAUGUGCGUUUAAAAGGACAGCAAAUAAAUUAACACACACACACUGACACUGAAUGACAGGCUGCCUGGAGAGGGCCCCCGGUUGUAAAUGAUGGAAGGGAAAAUUAAAUCUUACAUUUAGUUUUUGAAAUCAAGACGUCAGCCAGCCUCUGUAGAAGUUUGUGGAUGGUUGCCCGGUUCGGUGAUGGUCAGGACUUCGGUGUGAUAUUUGAUUUGUGAGGCAUGAUGAGCGACGGAGUGUGAUGUCUCACAGUGAAGCUGCCUUAAUGUUCAUGAAUUUCUGCGGUUUGUGAAAUGACAAUCCCCCAAUACUGAGGCUGCUCCAGGAAAAUGACAAGUUUCUGAGGACAUUUGUCUACAAUUAGUGGCUCUCAAGACCUUGCAAAACUACAACUCUGAGGAUGAUUGGAGUUUUACAGUUAUACAGGAACUGG
Bufo gargarizans (Asiatic toad) is the source of this 882-nucleotide long non-coding RNA. RefSeq lists it as uncharacterized. The record is from RefSeq and is a predicted model, not a curated record. Lineage: Eukaryota; Metazoa; Chordata; Amphibia; Anura; Bufonidae. The transcript has 5 exons.